AGAAAAUUCUCUAUGAGGAAAAGGUAACGCUACUCUCUGAGUGGCGCGACGUAUCGCAGAAACUCGACGCAACCAUGCGCGAGUGACGGCAUAUUGAGUAUUCUCGGAAACACAGGAAACUGCAUACGACAGAGGUUAUGUGAGGGAAAAGUGUUAAAUAGUUAAAUUACUACAUUUUGCAGCAAGGCGAAUUAACAAAGGUGUUGGUUUCCCUCGCGCGAUAAUGUUCGGUGAGAAUUGAAGCCAACGGAACACGAAAACUAUGUUCGUCAACCGAUAGAGCGACAAACUGCUCUCAUUCAUCAGACCGCGUGGUAGAGGAUUAAAAGUCAUUUGAAAAGGAAAACGGGAGAAUAAUGGAGAAUCGCAAUGUUCCUUUAUUUUGCAUUAGCUAUACGCUGAAUUUCCUCGUUCUACUCUUUUUUUCCACAGUAGUGACAAGUAUACCAAUGAAGGAAAGUAUCGUUGAUGUCAUGAAGACGGACGAAAAAUUAUGCGAUAGCAUUAAAGUUUUAUACGAGUCAAAAUAUACAAACAGUUGCGCAUCGUUGGACUAUCCCGUUCAAGCUUGGGACAACAAAGAGGGGACGUUGGACAAGUAUUUAUGCUUAGGAGUCUACGAUACAGCGUAUAAGGUUUGCCAAUACUCUGAUCAUUUGCAAAUUCCUCUUAAUCAUGUAGCAGUAUUCGAUGCAAAUGUGGAAAAAUUUGUUCCCAAUGAAAAGUCCUUCGGGACUGAGGGGAAUAAUGAGGAAACAUACUGCAAGGACAAUCUGCAGGGAUUCACGUCGUUGUACAGUAAAGUAAAAUUACACUGGGGACCACUGGCUGAAAGGUUUGGUAAACCUCACUUAUGUCAAAGAUUAUGUUUCGACCUUAAUUAUAAGUUCCGUCCAUUAUGCGCGGUAUUCGCUUGGAUCAAGAGCAUUGAAGAUGAAAUUAAAAAAUCGAAGAUAUCGGUAACGAAUCAUGAUGCCGUGAACCGUGCACCUGAAGUUUCUAAUCCGAAAGCACCAGUGGAUCAAGAAGUAACUGCUGACAAGAUUCUUGAAACUAAUUUGCAGGAAACAGAAAAGAAAACAGAAAUGAAAAAAUUCAAGGAACCGCAUGACAAAGAAAAGAAUACGUCUGCCAUUAUAUUUAAUGAACACACACAACCUAAUACUGAAAAGGCUGAAUCUGAUCUCGAAAAAUCGAGUAAACACGAAACCCAGAAAAUGUUAAAUGAUAUACUUUCAAGAACUGAAGGUCAUAACUCACAGGACAAAGACAAAGAAAAUAUUAAUAAUGUUAAAACUGAAACUAAUCCUGAAGCACCAAAGACUCCGGUCAAUGUGCCAAGUAAAGAAAAUGUAGAUACGAAAGAAGUUGCGAAAGAAGAAAACGCUAAAGAGACGAACAGGAAGCCAGAAGUUGACGACGUAAAGACUAGUACUCUUUCCGAAAAUACACAGGAUCAUUAUGGUGCUAGCAAUGGAGAAGACGAAGAACCUAUUGAAGAAGUUGAUGACACGAUUCAACAACCAAUAGAGACAGGGAAUCAAAAUGAAAAUCUACAGGAGCCGUUUGAACGGAAAAAUAAUUUGCGGUAUCCUAAUAUGAGGGCUGAGGGUGAUUCUCAUUUCUUCACUUAUUUCAUUGUGACUACUGUGGCGUGUAUCGCUUGUUACAUAGGUUAUCAUAACAAGCAGAAGAUACUUGCUAUCGUAUUAGAAGGUCGAAGAUCGAGAAAUAGUCGCGGUAGACGUCGACCGAGCACAGCCAACUAUCGAAAGCUGGAUUGCACACUCGAGGAAGCCGUUACGUCACAAUGUAAUGCCAACGUUACCCAUGUCAUAUAUUAAUGCGAGUAGAAUAUCACAAGUUUUAUAAUGUCUGUAUUAUAGUACUGCAGGAUUUCGUCAAACAAUCUUACGGAAUAUCAAAAUGUAUGAAUACUGCAUACUAUAACAUAUACCGCGGUAUAUAUUAUAGAAUGUAUGCUACAUGCGGUUUACUGUUUGGUAAUAUCAGAGAGUAUACUUUUAUUUCAUGUGAAACUGCGACGUAAAUGAACAACUUAUUAUUUACGAAACGUCAAGUGUAUUGUCAAUCAAUAGCGCACCAUUAGCGUGUUGUUAAUAUCGCACGAAAAGAUACGCACGGAUAUUUAAAAAUUAUAAUUUCCAAGUGAGACAAAUCAUAAUGAGAAUUCACGUUUAAUAUUUGUGGCAUUCAGUAACUUUCAAGCAAAUCGUUUCUUACGAAUUAUAUAAAGUACAUUAUACGCAAUACUAAAAAGAAAAUAUUAAUUAAUUUUGUUAUAUGCUGUAUCAAAUAUUUUAUAAUUCAUUAUAACGCUUGUGUGAAGUCUGAAUUGGAACUUUAGAAGAACAUGGUACUAUUGCGAAAUAUAACAGAAUUUCUGGUACAGACUUUUUAGACAAUCCACCAAUCAUAAAUGAUUAUUAAUUCAUUUAAUCGCAUCUUGUGAUUUAUAUUUUGUUUCUAUUUAAUAAAUUUUGUUUUACGAUUUUCAUUUAGCCGCUACAUUUAUAUCUAAAAUUGUUUAACUGUUCUUUGUAGACGUUAUUAAUUUAAUAAAUCGAUAGUUCCUUAGUUCAUGUCUAGUGAACGUAGGUUUGUGAGAUUUUAUGAUGAGCCUUUCUGGUCAGGCGAUCCGAGACCUUGUUAACGUAGUCUCGAUUGUCCUAUAAUGACAUGAAUAGAAAAUUAAGAAAAAGCUAUCGUGAUUUAGAUAAAAACGGUGAUGCGUGCGGAAACAAUCACAAGGGAGGCGGCGAAAAAACGACUAACUUGUCUCACUAUUUCAGUACCGUCUACCUGCUAUGGUUUACUCUACAAGUCUUUGUAAGAUUUAAGUCACUAUGCGUUUUGGGAAAGCGAGGUUAUCUUAUAAUAAGUAUAGGUUUGAUAGAUUUUAUAAAAUACUAAUCUCAUGUAUUCCGUAGAAAAAAGGAAUCGAAUCAUAUACUUAAUAUACGACCGCGGAAAAUCCUGAUAAGUUGUUUUCGUUUCGUUCUUGCUUCGGACAUUAAUAUCUUUCACAAUAUGAUGAUUAUUUUAUGUGUUGUGUGUAUUUUAUGUGAUGACUAUUUUACGUGCUGUGCAAGUAUUAUACGUACAGUAUAUGUGAUGUAUUUUACAGUAUACGCAUUAUUCGUAUAUAUUUAACAAUAUAUAAUUGUUUCCGCGAUCGCACUCCAUUUUACACGACUCGUUAAAUAUAUUUUCACUUUGUUCUGUUUUGCCAUUUUUGUCUUA
Harpegnathos saltator (Jerdon's jumping ant) is the source of this 3264-nucleotide RNA transcript. It is a transcript of the gene named trans-Golgi network integral membrane protein 2, with no coding region annotated. The transcript is spliced from 5 exons. The record is from RefSeq and is a predicted model, not a curated record. Lineage: Eukaryota; Metazoa; Arthropoda; Insecta; Hymenoptera; Formicidae.